GAUGAACGCUGGCGGCGUGCUUAACACAUGCAAGUCGAACGAAGCACUCUAUUUGAUUUUCUUCGGAAAUGAAGAUUUUGUGACUGAGUGGCGGACGGGUGAGUAACGCGUGGGUAACCUGCCUCAUACAGGGGGAUAACAGUUGGAAACGACUGCUAAUACCGCAUAAGCGCACAGGAUUGCAUGAUCCGGUGUGAAAAACUCCGGUGGUAUGAGAUGGACCCGCGUCUGAUUAGCCAGUUGGCAGGGUAACGGCCUACCAAAGCGACGAUCAGUAGCCGGCCUGAGAGGGUGACCGGCCACAUUGGGACUGAGACACGGCCCAAACUCCUACGGGAGGCAGCAGUGGGGAAUAUUGCACAAUGGGGGAAACCCUGAUGCAGCGACGCCGCGUGAGCGAAGAAGUAUUUCGGUAUGUAAAGCUCUAUCAGCAGGGAAGAAAGUGACGGUACCUGAAUAAGAAGCCCCGGCUAACUACGUGCCAGCAGCCGCGGUAAUACGUAGGGGGCAAGCGUUAUCCGGAUUUACUGGGUGUAAAGGGAGCGUAGACGGCAAGGCAAGUCUGAAGUGAAAGCCCGGUGCUUAACGCCGGGACUGCUUUGGAAACUGUUUGGCUGGAGUGCCGGAGAGGUAAGCGGAAUUCCUAGUGUAGCGGUGAAAUGCGUAGAUAUUAGGAGGAACACCAGUGGCGAAGGCGGCUUACUGGACGGUAACUGACGUUGAGGCUCGAAAGCGUGGGGAGCAAAC
RNAcentral lists this ribosomal RNA (747 nucleotides) under uncultured Lachnospiraceae bacterium. Its description in RNAcentral is "bacterial SSU rRNA". It matches the Rfam family "Bacterial small subunit ribosomal RNA", at positions 28 to 773 of the family's 1533-position model. Lineage: Bacteria; Bacillati; Bacillota; Clostridia; Lachnospirales; Lachnospiraceae. The record is from RNAcentral.